This 404-nucleotide ribosomal RNA is filed under the name Actinomycetes bacterium. RNAcentral's name for it is "Actinobacteria bacterium partial 16S ribosomal RNA". It matches the Rfam family "Bacterial small subunit ribosomal RNA", at positions 355 to 776 of the family's 1533-position model. The record is from RNAcentral. Lineage: Bacteria; Bacillati; Actinomycetota; Actinomycetes.
UGGGGAAUAUUGGACAAUGGGCGCAAGCCUGAUCCAGCCAUGCCGCGUGAGUGAUGAAGGCCCUAGGGUUGUAAAGCUCUUUCACCGGUGAAGAUAAUGACGGUAACCGGAGAAGAAGCCCCGGCUAACUUCGUGCCAGCAGCCGCGGUAAUACGAAGGGGGCUAGUGUUGUUCGGAUUUACUGGGCGUAAAGCGCACGUAGGCGGACUAUUAAGUCAGGGGUGAAAUCCCGGGGCUCAACCCCGGAACUGCCUUUGAUACUGGUAGUCUUGAGUUCGAGAGAGGUGAGUGGAAUUCCGAGUGUAGAGGUGAAAUUCGUAGAUAUUCGGAGGAACACCAGUGGCGAAGGCGGCUCACUGGCUCGAUACUGACGCUGAGGUGCGAAAGCGUGGGGAGCAAACAGG